GCUCACCCUCUUUAUAUUAAUGAUUCUGAAUUUCGCGCAGGUCCCGAUCUUCCUUCUUCAAUGGCGACUGAUUUCUCAGAAGAACUGAGCGAAAACAAUCUUCCAGGACCGAAAUCGGCCUUGCCGUUGAAUUUAGGAUCUGCAGCCGCUGGUAAUGGCCAAGUAGAUCAACACCAAAAUCGCCGUUCAUUUGCUGUCGGGCCUUCCCAUUCCGUGACUCCCACCGCUACAAAGGAAGGCACUGAAUCUCAACGUGCCGCUUUGGGGAGAACAUCGGAGCAUCAUGCUUCUGUUUUUGAUAUCUUCAAGAAGAUCCGUCGUGCGGAGCGGUUCGGGAUUCCUGUACGUUUGUCGGAGGCAGAAAAGCGAUUCUCUCGAGCUGAGAGGUUCGGCAUUGAUUCAGUAUGUGGGCCGGAUGAAAUGUUCAAAGCAGAAGAGCUGAAGAGAAAGGCCAGAGCGGAGAGAUUUGAGCUCUUAACUUUGUCAAUGGCUACUGACGAGGAGGCAAAGAAGAAAGCGCGGCUUGUCAGAUUUUCCCCAUUUUUGUAGAGUUCCCUUUUGGUUGAACAAGAAAGUUAUAUCAACAAGUCUUAUGCACAGCCAAGCUCGUUUAACCAAUUGGACAAGCCGAGCUAUUAACCAUUUAGUUCAUCGUAUCCUGAACCCUUUCAAUUUAAGGAUGCGGCCAUUACUUUGUAUGAAAUGUAUAACAUUGAACUCCAUUAGAUGUAGGUGUUUUAAAUUUCUAGAACUGCAUCCUCUUUAUCCAAUUGGAGGGUAUACUUCCAUCCAGUUUUCUACAUGCCCAUUUUAAAAAAAAAAUUAUCUACACUAUUAUUAUCAUCGUCCUUCCAGUGCUCAAGCAAGCCCUUUGAGUUCGAUCCAAGUAAAUGGCAAGGGGGAUGUACCUGUUGGUUCCUUUUUAGUAGGCUAAGCAACUUGUUUGGUGAAGCCUUUAAAUGGUCACUAGAUGUUGGUUCCUUUUUAGUAGGCUAAGCAACUGUUAUCUGGAAGUGCCACGAUUUUAUGGAAGGCAGAACAAUGGCCUAAAAGAAGUUUUUCCAUCUGCGUUGGUGGUCAACAUACUUCUGACUUUUAUCUUAUAGACCUUAUUCAACUUAAUUAACAUGGGAGAAGUUAUCUAAUUGAUUCGUUCAUCUUUGCAGGUUCAAUGUAAUUUUCAUGGGUGUUCCUGAUUUGCUUUCUCCACAUUUUGCACACUGAAAUCCCGUUUCAUAGCAGCAUUUCUGUCACCCAGGGGUAUUUGGUCUUUAACUAUAAUUGAGAAUAACAGAUGAAGCUCUGAAGGGGUUUUGGAUUUGCUUCAAGAACCUUGUGACUGCUUUUACUCUGUUUGAUUUACCCAUAUUUAUCUCAAUUAUCUCACUUAUAAGGGAUCUAGAAAAAUCUUCAGUAGCCAGUCCGAUAGUGUAACGAAUGGCUUGCUCACCUUUGUGAAGGUUUGACUUUCACUAUGUGUUUCAGGCUUGCUCUUCUUGAGGAACCGAAAUGAAGUUAUGCUUAUUGGUGGAGUGUAUGAUAUUACUGGUCAGGUUCAUACCCCCCCCCCCCCC
Molecule: non-coding RNA, 1574 nt
Organism: Cucurbita pepo subsp. pepo (vegetable marrow)
Lineage: Eukaryota; Viridiplantae; Streptophyta; Magnoliopsida; Cucurbitales; Cucurbitaceae
Source: RefSeq, a predicted model, not a curated record